UGAAGAAAUAGUUUAAAGUAUUAAAACAUAACACUGAAAAUGUUAAAAUGAUAUAUUCUUUUUUCAAC
This 68-nucleotide transfer RNA is filed under the name Elliptio icterina. RNAcentral's name for it is "tRNA-Phe". It matches the Rfam family "tRNA". Rfam says of the family: Transfer RNA (tRNA) molecules are approximately 80 nucleotides in length. Their secondary structure includes four short double-helical elements and three loops (D, anti-codon, and T loops). Lineage: Eukaryota; Metazoa; Mollusca; Bivalvia; Unionida; Unionidae. The record is from RNAcentral.